Molecule: long non-coding RNA, 439 nt
Organism: Hippocampus comes (tiger tail seahorse)
Lineage: Eukaryota; Metazoa; Chordata; Actinopteri; Syngnathiformes; Syngnathidae
Exons: 4
Source: RefSeq, a predicted model, not a curated record
CAACAAAGGGCAGCUGUUGCAGUUUGCCCUGCACGGCCAAAGGUGGCUCUCGGUUUUCAGAGCCAAGAAGAACCAUACACAAUGUGGGAACAGAGCUCGACUGAUCCCCGACAGGAAGUGUUUCUGCUGGCACAGUCACAUGGCAAUCUCACAAGUCCUUUCCUAGAUUCCACUCAGCAGUCACAGCCUGGAGCCAGUGAGGCUGCCAUUGUGUCCUGGAUGGCAGCCAAUUUGGGCUCAGUGCCAGACAGGAAAUGUGGUGGUGGCCGCAAGACUGCUGCAGCUAACAGUGGUUUGAACUUUGAUGGGCAAUCUGUCCUUUAAAGCAGGGUAUUGAACAUUUGUUCACUGGUCCUGUUUGUGUUAGACCUGUCGUUUACACUUGGAGUUACUCAGUUACCUUUUUCAGAUUGAUCCUAUUUGGACUGAUUCAUUUCAG